UAAUGCUAAGGUCAAAAGCCUGAAACCACGAUGUGCUUGCACAAAAGUGGUUUUAUGGCUUAAUGACCUGCACCGAUAUGAGCAUAAAAGUGGAGCGUAAGCUUCACGAUAUGCGAAUGUCGGAUAGAAUUGUGAGAGUACGAAGUACGGAACAAUUCUUAAGGCAUUA
Firmicutes bacterium CAG:56 is the source of this 169-nucleotide small RNA. It matches the Rfam family "Clostridiales-1 RNA". The record is from Rfam. NCBI's taxonomy places the organism in Bacteria, Bacillati, Bacillota.